GACGAACGCUGGCGGCGUGCUUAACACAUGCAAGUCGAACGGAAAGGCCCUGCUUUUGUGGGGUGCUCGAGUGGCGAACGGGUGAGUAACACGUGAGUAACCUGCCCUUGACUUUGGGAUAACUUCAGGAAACUGGGGCUAAUACCGGAUAGGAGCUCCUGCUGCAUGGUGGGGGUUGGAAAGUUUCGGCGGUUGGGGAUGGACUCGCGGCUUAUCAGCUUGUUGGUGGGGUAGUGGCUUACCAAGGCUUUGACGGGUAGCCGGCCUGAGAGGGUGACCGGCCACAUUGGGACUGAGAUACGGCCCAGACUCCUACGGGAGGCAGCAGUGGGGAAUAUUGCACAAUGGGCGGAAGCCUGAUGCAGCAACGUCGCGUGCGGGAUGACGGCCUUCGGGUUGUAAACCGCUUUCGCCUGUGACGAAGCGUGAGUGGCGGUAAUGGGUAAAGAAGCACCGGCUAACUACGUG
RNAcentral lists this ribosomal RNA (468 nucleotides) under uncultured bacterium. Its description in RNAcentral is "partial 16S ribosomal RNA". It matches the Rfam family "Bacterial small subunit ribosomal RNA", at positions 28 to 507 of the family's 1533-position model. The record is from RNAcentral.